Molecule: ribosomal RNA, 681 nt
Filed under: uncultured Bacteroidales bacterium
Lineage: Bacteria; Pseudomonadati; Bacteroidota; Bacteroidia; Bacteroidales
Description: bacterial SSU rRNA
Rfam family: Bacterial small subunit ribosomal RNA
Source: RNAcentral
UGGUCUUAGCUUGCUAAGGCUGAUGGCGACCGGCGCACGGGUGAGUAACACGUAUCCAACCUGCCGUCUACUCUUGGCCAGCCUUCUGAAAGGAAGAUUAAUCCAGGAUGGGAUCAUGAGUUCACAUGUCCGCAUGAUUAAAGGUAUUUUCCGGUAGACGAUGGGGAUGCGUUCCAUUAGAUAGUAGGCGGGGUAACGGNCCACCUAGUCAACGAUGGAUAGGGGUUCUGAGAGGAAGGUCCCCCACAUUGGAACUGAGACACGGUCCAAACUCCUACGGGAGGCAGCAGUGAGGAAUAUUGGUCAAUGGGCGAUGGCCUGAACCAGCCAAGUAGCGUGAAGGAUGACUGCCCUAUGGGUUGUAAACUUCUUUUAUAAAGGAAUAAAGUCGGGUAUGCAUACCCGUUUGCAUGUACUUUAUGAAUAAGGAUCGGCUAACUCCGUGCCAGCAGCCGCGGUAAUACGGAGGAUCCGAGCGUUAUCCGGAUUUAUUGGGUUUAAAGGGAGCGUAGAUGGAUGUUUAAGUCAGUUGUGAAAGUUUGCGGCUCAACCGUAAAAUUGCAGUUGAUACUGGAUGUCUUGAGUGCAGUUGAGGCAGGCGGAAUUCGUGGUGUAGCGGUGAAAUGCUUAGAUAUCACGAAGAACUCCGAUUGCGAAGGCAGCCUGCUAAGCUGCAACUGA